UAAUAUGAUGAAGUUGAGGUUGUAGUUGUAUUCAACAUGUUGAAGUAUUAGUUGUAUGUAAUACGUGGUAGUUGAGGUACUAGUUGUAUAUGGUAGUUGAGGUAGUGGUUGUAUUUAAUAUUUGGUAGUUGAGGUUGUACUUGUAUGUUUAAUAAUGCUGAGGAAUCUAAUGCUGGCUCUUGGUGGAGGCCCCUGGUUAGAGCCAGCUCUGUGCUCAGCGCUCUGUGUCAGAGUCUCUUCCCCCUCAGCAGCUGCAGCAGGUUCCUGCUGUAACAGCUCAGUCUACGCAGUGUGACUGAGGGAGGUUUUUGUACGGCUCUCAAACACUGUGUGAACACACUGCCACUAUGGCGACUCUGACAGUGAUAAACUGCUGCAUCUUCACGCUGGGCACCGUUGAUGGCCAGAGAUGCAAAGCUUCCUCUAUAUGGAAAUGACCUGUUUCCACUCAUCAGACGGGGGGUGAGAGUGACUGCAGACCUUCUGGGAGGACCGCUGUAUCUCUUUAACGUCCACACUUUUGGAAUACGAAAUUUGAUUUGGUGUAAAUAAUUGGAAUUGCAAUCUAUAGCAUUUUUUCUGGUUAAUUUGAUCUUGGUUUGUAUGAAAUUCAUUAAUUUUCUAAAUUGUGUAUAAAAAAAGUUACUCAUUACAUCGCAACCAAAAAUGCUUUAAUUAAUCGUAACAUAUUCUUUAUUUUUAUUAAAUGCAUGUUUAUUACAUCCAUUCUUUCAUUUUAAAAGUUUUUUGUGGACUGGUUUGGCUUGUUUAAUCGUUUUUUGUGAGGCUCCAAAGAUUGUUUUAAAAUAAAUGUAAAAUCGUUUCCUUAUAUUAAUUCAAUCUAAAGCAGAAAACAUUAGCUGCAGUGUAGCCCGUCAAAUAAUGAAUAAUUCAUCGAUUUUUGAGAAAAGCCAGUGUUUUUGUGGCAGUGAUAUGAGUCUUUAAAGUGAGGGAGGUUUUUGUACAGCCUCUUAAUGCGUUUGCAUCACUGUGGAGGACUUUUGGUGGAGGCACCAAACUCAUCGUUGACAUGGGAGUGGUGCAGCCCACGCUGAGCGUCCUCCCUCCCUCCAGAGUGGAGCUGGAGCAGGGCAGUGCUACACUAGUGUGUGUGGCCAGUGGGGGCUUCCCCUCAGACUGGAAGCUUGGCUGGAAGGUGGGGGGCAGCAGCAGGUCUGGGGGGGUGUCCGAUAGCCUGGGGGUCCUGGGGAAAGAUGGCCACUACAGCUGGAGCAGCACCUUGACCCUCCCUGCAGACCAGUGGAGGAAGGCGGGCUCAGUGAGCUGUGAGGCCAGUAAGAAUGGCCAGACGCAGCCUGUCACCCAAACUCUGAAUCCUGGAGAGUGUUCACAGUAGAGAGGCUCCAGCAUUGAAGUACUGGAGAACACAGAUCUCCUCUGACACGUCUGCUUUAUGUCUCUCUGUCUGAGGUGGCACUGCAGCUUUUGGAUGAAUUACAUUAAUAUAACUUGUGUUUGAUUCAUUAAUAUUAUGCUCUCUGGUUUUAUCCCCUUGCUUUGUCACAUGUUGAACAUGUAAUAAAGACGUAAAUAAUAAAUU
Gadus morhua (Atlantic cod) is the source of this 1561-nucleotide long non-coding RNA. RefSeq lists it as uncharacterized. NCBI's taxonomy places the organism in Eukaryota, Metazoa, Chordata, Actinopteri, Gadiformes, Gadidae. The record is from RefSeq and is a predicted model, not a curated record. The transcript is spliced from 2 exons.